Oncorhynchus kisutch (coho salmon) is the source of this 1069-nucleotide long non-coding RNA. RefSeq lists it as uncharacterized. The record is from RefSeq and is a predicted model, not a curated record. NCBI's taxonomy places the organism in Eukaryota, Metazoa, Chordata, Actinopteri, Salmoniformes, Salmonidae. The transcript has 4 exons.
GUCACCACCACGUGCACCGCGCAUUCUCACAUCGAGAUGAUUCAGCCACCACGGUAACCACGCGCUCCAGCCACUCACUCCCUCAGCUCAAGAAUACACCAACAUUCCGAACUGCAGGCAACAGGCGGGUGGAGAGAUCGGGGAGCCAGCUUGGAUAGCGGAGAGCGCACACCACCAGCGCAGUCGAGACUAAAACGGAAAUAACGAAUUAACUACCAAAGGGAUUGUCAUUUCCUUAACAUCCUAUCAACCGUUAAUGACAGACACAUCGUUAAAGGAGGCAAAACGAAAAACACAACAGAGAUUGAUUUAUUAUCCAUAGUUUACCGUUCCAGCGCGUGGAAAGAUGAAGACUAAAAACCUUGAGCAAAGCUUGUCUGAUUCCAGAGAAUUGGAUGGAUCGUAUGACCAGCUGACUGGUGUUCAAGUCAAUGCUCCAUCAGAUCUGUUGGGUCCAUCGCUGGUAAGAGGACGGAGUGGAAUGCCACUGUUACAAUGGAUCAGCAGAGGAAGUAGAGGUGGCUACAGGAAGAUUCAUCAACCUACAAAGCACUGUACUCUGUGGUCAUGGACAAACACCUGCAGAAGGAUCUUGAUCAGAUGGCACUGUUUAAACACACAGGCACUCCAAGAUGCAUUGUUUACCCUAAACAAUUAAAACAAUGGAUUGCCUAGCCAAUAUAUCGCCCAUCACUCAAAAAUUCAGGAAUGACCUGAAUAAUUGAAAUACUAGGAGCCAAAAUCUGUUGGAAAAGGCUGUGGUCUGGUUGACAACAUGGCCCCCAUCCCAACAUGGUCCUCCUUGCACUACAACCUAAUACAAACACAUUAUAUUGUAACGUAAUUUGUUAGCCUCUGGUCCUUAUCACUCUGCAUCUGUAGCAUUUGAAAAAAAUCCAUUCAAUGUAGGCUGCUACUGUACAUAAAAGCAUAUCUAAUUUAUACUGUCUAUUUUAUUGUAUAUUUGACCUUUUAUUGAUAUGAAUUUUAAGAAUGCCUUGUCUGCACUGUGUAUUGUUCAUUAUACAGACCCCAAGUCUGUGUUGUAAAAAAUCUAUAGCGGUCUUUG